RNAcentral lists this ribosomal RNA (460 nucleotides) under uncultured bacterium. RNAcentral describes it as "partial 16S ribosomal RNA". It matches the Rfam family "Bacterial small subunit ribosomal RNA", at positions 338 to 795 of the family's 1533-position model. The record is from RNAcentral.
CCUACGGGUGGCAGCAGUGAGGAAUAUUGGUCAAUGGACGAGAGUCUGAACCAGCCAAGUAGCGUGAAGGAUGACUGCCCUAUGGGUUGUAAACUUCUUUUAUAUGGGAAUAAAACGUUCCACGUGUGGGAUUUUGUAUGUACCAUAUGAAUAAGGAUCGGCUAACUCCGUGCCAGCAGCCGCGGUAAUACGGAGGAUCCGAGCGUUAUCCGGAUUUAUUGGGUUUAAAGGGAGCGUAGGUGGGUUGUUAAGUCAGUUGUGAAAGUUUGCGGCUCAACCGUAAAAUUGCAGUUGAAACUGGCAGUCUUGAGUACAGUAGAGGUGGGCGGAAUUCGUGGUGUAGCGGUGAAAUGCUUAGAUAUCACGAAGAACGCCGAUUGCGAAGGCAGUUCACUGGACUGAAACUGACACUGAGGCUCGAAAGUGUGGGUAUCAAACAGGAUUAGAUACCCGAGUAGUC